AACCCCUCACCCCUCUCAUUUCACACCCCCUAUCCCUUCGUUCUCUUCCAAGACGGACACCAAACACCAUAGCCCAAACCCUAGCCGCCCCCUCACUCCUCCGCCUGAAACUCGGCGGUACCACCUCCGAUGACCAUGAAAAUCACACCACUGAACCAUCUUGAUCCCCCCUCUCCAAAUCCACCCUCCAUCGCCUUCGAAUCAUCCCCGAGAUCUUCGAAUUUUAGAUCAAAGAAUUGACCCCUAACCCUAGUUCACCCAUAUGCCUCCAAGUUGACACACCGGCUCCACCUAACCCACCUUGUCCCUAAACUUUCAUUGGAUUCCUUCGAAUCUCAGUCGAGCAUCUCAAAUUUUGAAUGCAAGAUGAACCCUGAAAAACUUCUAAGUCCCGUCCUGGUACGAGUUGGACAGGUUAAAGUUGUAAUCAACCUUCGUCGUAUGUUCUCAGUUGAGAACAUUCGACUAAGGUUCAUUCCAAUCUCACAUCCGAAGUAAGAGGUCGAGUUAGAGUUUGGAAGUGGAACUGUUUGAGAGUUUGGGCUGUAAUUUUUGAGGUAUUUUUCAUUCUUUUAUUUUCUAUUCUGUUGAUGUUUAUCCAUCCGAAAUUGAUUAUAUCUCAUCAUAUUUUCAAUUUAUUUCUUUCUUCUCUUUCGGAUUCUUUUUAUUUGGUCCAGUUUUCUUAUGUGGUUGACUAGCAUAUAUUAAAUCAAUUGAAUAUCUUUGCCCUUCAGUUUUGUUGUAAAAGUUAGUGUCCGUAAUGUUCGUGUACAAAACUGUAUCUAAUCCUGUAAUGGGUCACUAGUAUUAUUGAUUCAAAUGGUCUCAUUUUCUGUGGUGUUUGGUUCCAUAUUCUGUUAUUAGUCGUUAUGCACAUCAAUCCAGCUUAUUUUUGUCCAAGUAUGUUACAGUAUUUCACUCAGUUCCUUUUAGUUUAGAUUUGUGGAUGCAGUCAGCUUUUCCUCUAUCAUUGCGAUGCUGUUUGAUAUAGAUUUAAUUCAAUUUUGUGUAGUCUAAUGACUUGCAUCUGAUUGAUUGCUCUGUUGAGUUUGAGGUCUGAUAUGAUUUAGACUUAGGCUUAAAUUCAGUUUUAGUUUUAAUAAUUCCAUUAUGUUUCAUGUGGCAGUAAGUUUGAUUUUGAUUUGAGUUCAGUUCUUUUGUUUAAUCUCAGUGAAUCAUUUAUUAAGGAUUGACCUUAGUUGUAGUUAGAAAAUAUUUUUGAGUUUGGCAUUUGUUUACUAGUGAUUUGAAUCAGAAAAAUGGCAGUCGGUAGGAUUCAGGGGUGUUUUAGAAACAAAAAAAAUAAGAUAAUCUUGUUUGACUAAAUAGUCUAUCCUGUUGGACCCCAAUGUGCUUUAAUUUGAAUUAAUUAGUAGGAAGGGACCAUUGAAAAUGAAGAGAAAAUAAUUUUAGAAAUUCAAAGUUUGGCUUUUGUUUACUAGUGAUCUGAAUCAGAACAAUGGCAGUCAGUAGGAUUCAAGGGUGUUUUAGGAAUAAAAAGAAUAAGAAAAUCUGGUUUGACUAAAUAGUCUAUCCUGUAGGACCCAAAUAUGCUUUAAUUUGAAUUAAUUAGUAGGAAGGGACCAUUGAAAUGAUGAAUGUUGACUACUUUUGCUUAAUUGGAAUUAGGAAUAGUAGUUUAAUGAUAAAAGUGUAAAAAGAAGACAUAGAAGAGCAUAUUUGGGGGCUGGAUAUUAAAGUAAGGGGUAAUAGGAAGGGUAAUGAAAAAGGUUUGUAAUACUAAUUAAAAAAGGGAAAGAGGGUCUGGUUUUUAGAUAAAUAAGAGUCAUUUGGCUAAUUUUAAAGCGGCAGUUUCAGAGGCUUAAAAUAAGAAGAGUUUAAACAUCAACUGGAAUCAGUCAGUAGAGAGUAUUGUGAGGGCUUUUGAAUCAGUUAGAGAGGGCCUCCUUGGAAUCAGACUAGAAGAGCUUAUAAGAAUCUAAGAGUUUAAGUUGAAAAGCCGAAAAAAGAGAAGGUUGAAAACUUUAGAAAAUGAGUCGAACUUUGUUUGGGAUUCAAGUAUUUGGGUCAGUUUUGUUUGAACUCGGAUGGUUGAUUUUGUUAAUGCUAUUGUUGGAUCAAUUUUAGUUUUUAAAGUGGUUUUUCUCAAUCAUUUCUGGGUGGAUUUUGCUUGCUGAGCAUUGUCUCUGUUACUGCCCUGUUGCUGACCUCUCGUUUCUCUGUUUUGCUUUCAAAUUCCAGGUACAUUCUCUUGAAAUUUUGCUGAUGUAUGCGUCAUAAUGAAGAGGAAAGUAAAAGUUUGAAAUUUGGCAGCUUGAAUCUAUUUUGUUUAAGUUUCAGUUUUGUUUGUGAUGUUUAUAUACUGGGUCAGUCGAGCAUUGUGGUUUGGCCACUCUUAGUGUGAUUAGCUAAAUUUGUAUGUUGUAUGUUAAACUUUGGAACUGUUAGCAACAUGUUACGGGUAGAAUUUAGCAAAUGCAUUAGUCUUGAGAGUUUUACUGUGAACUUUAUUGGCAUGGAUAUGUGUUAAGUUAGAACACCUCUGUUAGUUUGAUAGUUACACUUUGGGUGUCAAACUUACUUGGAAUAAUGGUUCAAGAGAAAUAUGAAUUGAAAGGAGGUGUUUGUGGAUCCAUAGUGUAUUGUUUUGAUAUGUGAAUAAACUAAGCAUGUAAUCGUAUUUUAGUGACUAAUCAAAUGGCUAGAUUAUUCUAUUAUGAUCCCAGUAACUUAACGGCUUUGCAAAAAUAUAAAAUCAGUUAUUUUGCUUUCGUCAUUUGUCAAAUGAGCCAGGAGUAUUAUGUUAUUGAUCGCAUUUUAUAUUAUGGUAGCCAUGUUGUCAUAUGUGUUAGGAUUUAUGCCCGUCACUAGAAGGGGGUGAAUAGUGAGGCACGAGAAUGUCGAUAAAUUUUGCGAAAUUAAAAUUGCAGGAGUAA
RNAcentral lists this long non-coding RNA (2897 nucleotides) under Nicotiana benthamiana. Its description in RNAcentral is "long non-coding RNA (NBEN_LNC041864)". The record is from RNAcentral. Lineage: Eukaryota; Viridiplantae; Streptophyta; Magnoliopsida; Solanales; Solanaceae.